UUCCAGCUCCAAUAGCGUAUAUUAAAGUUGUUGCAGUUAAAAGGCUCGUAGUUGGACUUCUGAUGUGAAAGAUCGGUCCACCGCAAGGUGAGCACUGAUUCUUCGCGUCUUCCUCUCGUAGUUGUUUCGCGCACUUAGUUGGGUGCGAGAUGAAUAUGGGACCUUUACUUUGAAAAAAUUAGAGUGUUCAAAGCAGGCAAUCGCUUGAAUACAUUAGCAUGGAAUAAUAGAAUAGGACUUUGGUUCUAUUUUGUUGGUUUCUAGGACCGAGGUAAUGAUUAAUAGGGACAGUUGGGGGCAUUAGUAUUUAAUUGUCAGAGGUGAAAUUCUUGGAUUUAUGAAAGACUAACUACUGCGAAAGCAUUUGCCAAGGAUGUUUUCAUCA
RNAcentral lists this ribosomal RNA (385 nucleotides) under Choanoflagellata sp. RNAcentral's name for it is "partial small subunit ribosomal RNA". It matches the Rfam family "Eukaryotic small subunit ribosomal RNA", at positions 583 to 975 of the family's 1831-position model. Lineage: Eukaryota; Choanoflagellata. The record is from RNAcentral.